CGCUGGCGGCGUGCCUAACACAUGCAAGUCGAGCGGAGAUGAUGUGAGGAAGUUUUCGGAUGGAAUCACAUUAUUUUAGCGGCGGACGGGUGAGUAACGCGUGAGCGACCAACCUUGCACAGGGGGAUAACGGACCGAAAGGUUCACUAAUACCGCAUGAGACCACGGUGUUGCAUGACACAGGGGUCAAAGGAGGAAUCCGGUGCAAGACGGGCUCGCGUCCGAUUAGGUAGUUGGAGGGGUAACGGCCCACCAAGCCUAUGAUCGGUAGCCGACCUGAGAGGGUGAUCGGCCACAUUGGAACUGAGAUACGGUCCAAACUCCUACGGGAGGCAGCAGUGGGGAAUAUUGGGGCCAAUGGGGGAAACCCUGACCCAGCAACGCCGCGUGAAGGAAGAAGGUUUUCGGAUUGUAAACUUCUGUCCUUGGUGAAGAGAAGAAGACGGUAGCCAAGGAGGAAGCCCCGGCUAACUACGUGCCAGCCGCCGC
This 489-nucleotide ribosomal RNA is filed under the name uncultured bacterium. Its description in RNAcentral is "bacterial SSU rRNA". It matches the Rfam family "Bacterial small subunit ribosomal RNA", at positions 34 to 518 of the family's 1533-position model. The record is from RNAcentral.